GGCGCCGUAGCCAAGUGGCCUAAGGCAGUGGAUUGCAAAUCCACCAUCCCCGGUUCGAAUCCGGGCGGCGCCU
RNAcentral lists this transfer RNA (73 nucleotides) under Planctomycetaceae bacterium. RNAcentral's name for it is "tRNA-Cys". It matches the Rfam family "tRNA". From Rfam's summary of the family: Transfer RNA (tRNA) molecules are approximately 80 nucleotides in length. RNAcentral also lists the same sequence under 2 other names. The record is from RNAcentral. Lineage: Bacteria; Pseudomonadati; Planctomycetota; Planctomycetia; Planctomycetales; Planctomycetaceae.